RNAcentral lists this ribosomal RNA (449 nucleotides) under Klebsiella pneumoniae. RNAcentral describes it as "bacterial LSU rRNA". It matches the Rfam family "Bacterial large subunit ribosomal RNA", at positions 2493 to 2925 of the family's 2925-position model. Lineage: Bacteria; Pseudomonadati; Pseudomonadota; Gammaproteobacteria; Enterobacterales; Enterobacteriaceae. The record is from RNAcentral.
CAAGAGUUCAUAUCGACGGCGGUGUUUGGCACCUCGAUGUCGGCUCAUCACAUCCUGGGGCUGAAGUAGGUCCCAAGGGUAUGGCUGUUCGCCAUUUAAAGUGGUACGCGAGCUGGGUUUAGAACGUCGUGAGACAGUUCGGUCCCUAUCUGCCGUGGGCGCUGGAGAAUUGAGGGGGCUGCUCCUAGUACGAGAGGACCGGAGUGGACGCAUCACUGGUGUUCGGGUUGUCAUGCCAAUGGCAUUGCCCGGUAGCUAAAUGCGGAAGAGAUAAGUGCUGAAAGCAUCUAAGCACGAAACUUGCCCCGAGAUGAGUUCUCCCUGAGACUUUAAGUCUCCUGAAGGAACGUUGAAGACGACGACGUUGAUAGGCCGGGUGUGUAAGCGCAGCGAUGCGUUGAGCUAACCGGUACUAAUGAACCGUGAGGCUUAACCUUACAACGCCGAAG